Molecule: RNase P RNA, 449 nt
Filed under: uncultured Dysosmobacter sp.
Lineage: Bacteria; Bacillati; Bacillota; Clostridia; Eubacteriales; Oscillospiraceae
Description: Bacterial RNase P class A
Rfam family: Bacterial RNase P class A
About the family: Ribonuclease P (RNase P) is a ubiquitous endoribonuclease, found in archaea, bacteria and eukarya as well as chloroplasts and mitochondria. Its best characterised activity is the generation of mature 5'-ends of tRNAs by cleaving the 5'-leader elements of precursor-tRNAs.
Source: RNAcentral
ACAGACGGUCGCGUGGCCAGGCCGAAAGGCCGGUCAUGAGGAAAGUCCGGGCUCCACAGGGCAAGGAUAACGGGUAACGCCCGCCCAGAGCGAUCUGAGGAAAAGUGCAACAGAGAUAUACCGCCCCGUCCCCCAAAGCAAAGUGGGGCCCCCACAAAAACGCAGUUUUUGCGGGGAGAGGAGGCGCAGCGUCAUGACUGCGCCCUGCCGCUUGCGGCAGGGCAAGGGAUAUGAAGCUUGCGCCGACGAGGUAAGGGUGGAAAGGCGAGGUAAGAGCUCACCCGUCACACGGGAACGUCGUGACGCUGUAAACUCUAUCCGGAGCAACACCGUGGCGCGGAAGCAACAGGCCUGCCCGGCCGCUUCCAGGAGGUGGCUUGAGCGUACUGGCAACAGUGCGUCGAGAUAGAUGACCGUCCAAUACAGAACCCGGCUUACAGUUUUGCUCG